RNAcentral lists this ribosomal RNA (490 nucleotides) under uncultured soil bacterium. RNAcentral describes it as "bacterial SSU rRNA". It matches the Rfam family "Bacterial small subunit ribosomal RNA", at positions 26 to 517 of the family's 1533-position model. The record is from RNAcentral.
AGAUUGAACGCUGGCGGCAGGCCUAACACAUGCGAGUCGAGCGGUAGAGAGGUGCUUGCACCUCUUGAGAGCGGCGGACGGGUGAGUAAUGCCUAGGAAUCUGCCUAGUGGUGGGGGAUAACGUUCGGAAACGGACGCUAAUACCGCAUACGUCCUACGGGAGAAAGCGGGGGACCUUCGGGCCUCGCGCCAUUAGAUGAGCCUAGGUCGGAUUAGCUAGUUGGUGAGGUAAUGGCUCACCAAGGCGACGAUCCGUAACUGGUCUGAGAGGAUGAUCAGUCACACUGGAACUGAGACACGGUCCAGACUCCUACGGGAGGCAGCAGUGGGGAAUAUGGACAAUGGGCGAAAGCCUGAUCCAGCCAUGCCGCGUGUGUGAAGAAGGUCUUCGGAUUGUAAAGCACUUUAAGUGGAGAAGGUUGUAACUAAAUACGUUGCUAACUUUGACGUUACGACAGAAUAAGCACGGCUAACUUCGUGCCAGCAGCCG